GGGGGGGCAUAGUGUCCAGACGAUUGUUUGGCAGGUUUUAUGUACAAUGUUUGGAUUUAGCUUAGCUGAAAGACAAGAACAGCACCUCACGUGAAAUAAAAAUACAAAGGGAGCUAAUAAAAGUGUGCGGCAUUGAGACACACAACAGAAAGUCAGAAAUAGAUCACCAUCUUGGCGCCCAGAGACAGAUCGAUUGCUAAGAGUUCACGAGAAGCAUUUCGUAUUUAAACGAUCCAUCAACCAUCAAUGGGACCUGGAAAAUUACUAAUGUUGCAGCAAAUUUGUUGCUGCAUAGUAGGAUAGAAACUUCUCUACCCGCUAAUCUAUAUCUCGACAUUCUAUCCAUUUGAUCACACGAAAGCCAGAUGAGAAACAUAAAAAGGGAUAACAGAGAUAGAAGAUAGCAGAAAGAUAUCUCAUAGGCGCUUUCAUAUAUCCUACUUUCUCUGUGAAAACAAUACUUGAACGUACCUUUUGAACAACUUGGAAUUAAAGAAAAAGUUGUGUUCACCCAAAAUUCAAAUUUUGUAGACUUUUAAAAAUAAAUACAUAUAUUAAUGCGGCUAUGAGAAUUGUUUUCAUAAAGAGGAUCACUAGAAAUGACUAAUAUCGAAAUGGUAUAAGCUCCUGUGGUACAUGUUUGUAAAUGGAAGUACAAUAAAAAUGAUGCAAAAAUAAAGGUGUACAACAGGCUGAGUCGACCCAAAUUUUGUACGCUAAAAAGAAGGAAUAUAAAUGAGUAAUAUUGAUAUAAUAUAAACUCCAUUGCUAGAUGUUUGUAACUAUAGUACAAUAAAAAUGACGAGACAAUAAAGGUGCACAAAGGCUGGGUCGGCCAAAAUUGGUACAAGCAAGACCAAUAUAAAGUUGUGCAACGAGUUGGGUCGGCUUAAACCUUGUAGUACAAUAUAGUUGCUAGCGAGUUUAUGAAGACUUAUUAUAAAUGAGCUACAUAAGUACGAUACAAAAUUAUUUUGAUGGGAGAAAUGACCUUGU
This 996-nucleotide long non-coding RNA is filed under the name Malus domestica (apple). Its description in RNAcentral is "long non-coding RNA (MDOM_LNC018896)". The record is from RNAcentral. Lineage: Eukaryota; Viridiplantae; Streptophyta; Magnoliopsida; Rosales; Rosaceae.